This 91-nucleotide non-coding RNA is filed under the name uncultured Blautia sp. RNAcentral describes it as "TPP riboswitch (THI element)". It matches the Rfam family "TPP riboswitch aptamer (THI element)", at positions 10 to 89 of the family's 105-position model. Rfam says of the family: Vitamin B(1) in its active form thiamin pyrophosphate (TPP) is an essential coenzyme that is synthesised by coupling of pyrimidine and thiazole moieties in bacteria. The previously detected thiamin-regulatory element, thi box was extended, resulting in a new, highly conserved RNA secondary structure, the THI element, which is widely distributed in eubacteria and also occurs in some archaea. Analysis of operon structures identified a large number of new candidate thiamin-regulated genes, mostly transporters, in various prokaryotic organisms. The record is from RNAcentral. Lineage: Bacteria; Bacillati; Bacillota; Clostridia; Lachnospirales; Lachnospiraceae.
GAAAAGGGGAGCUUGUAUGACAGGCUGAGAGGAAGGUAUGACCUUCGACCCAUGAACCUGAUUUGGAUAAUGCCAACGUAGGGAUAGUUUC